GAUGAACGCUGGCGGCGUGCCUAAUACAUGCAAGUCGAGCGAACGGACGAGAAGCUUGCUUCUCUGAUAUUAGCGGCGGACGGGUGAGUAACACGUGGAUAACCUACCUAUAAGACUGGGAUAACUUCGGGAAACCGGAGCUAAUACCGGAUAAUAUUUUGAACCGCAUGGUUCAACAGUAAAAGACGGUCUUGCUGUCACUUAUAGAUGGAUCCGCGCUGCAUUAGCUAGUUGGUAAGGUAACGGCUUACCAAGGCAACGAUGCAUAGCCGACCUGAGAGGGUGAUCGGCCACACUGGAACUGAGACACGGUCCAGACUCCUACGGGAGGCAGCAGUAGGGAAUCUUCCGCAAUGGGCGAAAGCCUGACGGAGCAACGCCGCGUGAGUGAUGAAGGUCUUCGGAUCGUAAAACUCUGUUAUUAGGGAAGAACAUAUGUGUAAGUAACUGUGCACAUCUUGACGGUACCUAAUCAGAAAGCCACGGCUAACUACGUG
This 497-nucleotide ribosomal RNA is filed under the name uncultured bacterium. RNAcentral describes it as "partial 16S ribosomal RNA". It matches the Rfam family "Bacterial small subunit ribosomal RNA", at positions 28 to 507 of the family's 1533-position model. The record is from RNAcentral.